CGCGGCGUAGAGCAGUUGGUAGCUUGUCGGGCUCAUAACCCGGAGGUCGCAGGUUCGAGUCCUGCCGCCGCAACCA
This 76-nucleotide transfer RNA is filed under the name Oscillospiraceae bacterium. RNAcentral describes it as "tRNA-Met". It matches the Rfam family "tRNA". From Rfam's summary of the family: Transfer RNA (tRNA) molecules are approximately 80 nucleotides in length. Their secondary structure includes four short double-helical elements and three loops (D, anti-codon, and T loops). Further hydrogen bonds mediate the characteristic L-shaped molecular structure. tRNAs have two regions of fundamental functional importance: the anti-codon, which is responsible for specific mRNA codon recognition, and the 3' end, to which the tRNAs corresponding amino acid is attached (by aminoacyl-tRNA synthetases). tRNAs cope with the degeneracy of the genetic code in two manners: having more than one tRNA (with a specific anti-codon) for a particular amino acid; and 'wobble' base-pairing, i.e. permitting non-standard base-pairing at the 3rd anti-codon position. The record is from RNAcentral. Lineage: Bacteria; Bacillati; Bacillota; Clostridia; Eubacteriales; Oscillospiraceae.